RNAcentral lists this unclassified non-coding RNA (204 nucleotides) under soil metagenome. RNAcentral's name for it is "partial internal transcribed spacer 1". The record is from RNAcentral.
CCGAGUUUACAACUCCCAAACCCAAUGUGAACGUUACCAAACUGUUGCCUCGGCGGGAUUUCUGCCCCGGGGCGCGUCCCAAGCCCCGGACCAAGGCGCCCGCCGGAGGACCAAUUUACAAACUCUUGUAUGUCCCUCUGCGGAUUUUUAUUAUACAUUCUGAGCUUUCUCGGCGCUCCUACGCGAGCGUUUCGAAAUGAAUCA